UUUAUGGAGAGUUUGAUCCUGGCUCAGGAUGAACGCUGGCGGCGUGCCUAAUACAUGCAAGUCGAGCGAACGGACGAGAAGCUUGCUUCUCUGAUGUUAGCGGCGGACGGGUGAGUAACACGUGGAUAACCUACCUAUAAGACUGGGAUAACUUCGGGAAACCGGAGCUAAUACCGGAUAAUAUUUUGA
This 189-nucleotide ribosomal RNA is filed under the name Staphylococcus aureus. RNAcentral's name for it is "partial 16S ribosomal RNA". It matches the Rfam family "Bacterial small subunit ribosomal RNA", at positions 1 to 184 of the family's 1533-position model. Lineage: Bacteria; Bacillati; Bacillota; Bacilli; Caryophanales; Staphylococcaceae. RNAcentral also lists the same sequence under 1 other name. The record is from RNAcentral.